GACGAACGCUGGCGGCGUGCUUAACACAUGCAAGUCGAGCGGAAAGGCCCUUCGGGGUACUCGAGCGGCGAACGGGUGAGUAACACGUGAGUAAUCUGCCCCAUGCUUCGGGAUAGCCACUCGAAAGGGUGAUUAAUACCGGAUAUGACACUCCCCGGCAUCGGGUGGGUGUGGAAAGUUUUUCGGCGUGGGAUGUGCUCGCGGCCUAUCAGCUUGUUGGUGGGGUAAUGGCCUACCAAGGCUUCGACGGGUAGCCGGCCUGAGAGGGUGACCGGCCACACUGGGACUGAGACACGGCCCAGACUCCUACGGGAGGCAGCAGUGGGGAAUAUUGGACAAUGGGCGGAAGCCUGAUCCAGCAACGCCGCGUGAGGGAUGACGGCCUUCGGGUUGUAAACCUCUUUCAGCACAGACGAAGCGCAAGUGACGGUAUGUGCAGAAGAAGGACCGGCCAACUACGUGCCAGCCGCCGCCGUAACAC
RNAcentral lists this ribosomal RNA (481 nucleotides) under uncultured bacterium. RNAcentral's name for it is "bacterial SSU rRNA". It matches the Rfam family "Bacterial small subunit ribosomal RNA", at positions 28 to 526 of the family's 1533-position model. The record is from RNAcentral.